GAGCGAGCGCACUCUGUCUUGCGGGUCCGGGGGCAAGGGGAAAGGGGAGGAGCUAAGGAGAAGGGGAGGGAUAGGGAGAAGGAGCAGAUGGCGGCGGUGGUGAUCGGCCUCGGGAGGCGGUAUCGGCGGCGGUGGUCGCGGGAGGGGUUUUCGGACGUUGGGUGAGGAGAGAGGAGGCGAGUGGAAUAAGGGUGGUUGCCGCUCGAGGAGGGGUUUCGGUACCACACUCGCUCCUCCGCUGUCCAGGCCUCUGAUGGAGGACCUAGUCCUCCUCUUUCUCUUCGGAUCCCCGUUUUAAUACGCAGAAUCGUCACCGAGCUCGCUACAUCCUGCCACUGCUCGCUCGCCGAAGAUGUCCGCCACCCUCGCCACCACCCGUACCGAACCCCUGGCCGCGAACGCAGUUGGCUGCCGCUCGUGCCGACGACGGUUGGUCGGUUCCAGAACCUAAGCGUUUCACUAUGUAGGGACCUAGUUAAAUUCGAGAACGUUAGAGGUUAGUCAAUUCUACUCAGUGUACCGCUGCGAGCUCUUCCACUACAGACCGUCCCUAGUUGUGUGAGAAACGGUGGGUCAUGCCGGACGGGUACCAACUACCGUUCCCGUCCACGUAACCCAACAGAGGUUCUUCGUGUUCCGGUCCCGUAGGUUAACCCAUUGGGCCACGUUGACGACAAGGGGUUACUCAAGAAACAGUAUCUUACUGGAAAACCAUCGUCAUGACUUAUUAUUUUUUUAACAACGACAAACGCGCAGAGGCAGCAGGGAGUGAGAACGCAAAGAAAGUUAGCUGACCCGUGCUGUCACCCACUCCGCCCUAUCCACCGUGACCCCGCGUCACCUCACCGAUCCGCUCUUACAGAGCCGUCCCCUGCCGCUGGUAGCGUAGGCGACUAUACAAGUGGUAGUAGUAAAUAUACAUUAGAGUUUUUGUUUCUUUACGUAGGUCUAGAACGUCCAAUGUGGUCCAAGACAUCGAUAAUAAUAUAGACAUUAAAGAUGGAAAGUACAUUAAAUAGUGGUAAAUUAAUGAUAUACACUAUCUAUAAAGAGAUGAAUAAAAAUAGAAUAUACUACACAACAAGAUGGAUGCAUACAACGUAAGUCUCAUGGCAAUCAAGAACAUACGAACGUAGAAACUAACGCAUCUGUACGUCUCACAGGAAAUUUAAAGACAAUAAUAUCAACCCUCCCAAUGAGGAGUAAGACCUCGGGGUUCAGUCUAACUAUCUAAAAUAUAUACAUUUGUAACUACUGGUAUAGUCAUGGAAACGGUGAUAGAGAGAAAACAAACACAUAAGGAUGUCGGACUAGUCGAAGUUUAUGGAUGAGACUGUCUGUUAAGUGCCGACCACUGUUACCGGUAGACCUACUCGUCCCCGUACUAGAAAUGUUACUUCGUGUUUCAAACAGUCUGUAAGAACUAUUUCUCAGCUAUAUAGAUUGAUAGAUUCGAUGGUAACUACUUCAAUGUUCUACCACUUUUAUACGUCUUACUAUAAAGUCACCUACUUCACGAUCUUCUUGGUCCUUCAAUGAUCGUAGUUUUCCUUUUCUCUCGUUCCCCUAGAGUUUGCACAUUUUAGUAUAACGGGUCAAUCUCUAAGGAUCCUCAACAAACACGAUAAAAAAAUUCUAAUGUAACCACUCAGCGAAAAAAGAAAAGAGAGAUCCUCAUACAAAGUUAUACGUCGGAAAACGACAUAGUUGUAAAAAACAUUAGAAAGAUAAAGACAUAUAAAUACUCUGGUAAAUAAAGUAAGAUGUUAAUACG
RNAcentral lists this ribosomal RNA (1774 nucleotides) under Triticum aestivum (bread wheat). RNAcentral describes it as "partial small subunit ribosomal RNA". Lineage: Eukaryota; Viridiplantae; Streptophyta; Magnoliopsida; Poales; Poaceae. The record is from RNAcentral.